AAAGUAAAUGUCAUUUACCACUAAAAUAGGCACUAAUUUUCAAUAUUUUUGUGCAAAUUUGCACGAUUUAUCAAUAAUUCUGUCCAUGCAGAACAUAAGUGUUUGUAAGAAAAAAAUCCAAUGAGAUCAGUGUUGUUAGUUAUCCACAAGUAGGACAAUAUUUCUGGCGUUUUUAUGUUUUUAUUAUUUUAAAUAAAGUUAUCUUGAUUUUUCUGUCAAGUUUUAAUGUUUAUUGUGAAACACAUUUACUAUUCAUUAUUUUUAAAGCGUGUCGGGGGCUACAAAUAUCAGUGAAACUGAUUUGAGGGAAAACAAUGGUUGCAAUGAAUACAUAUUUUAUGUUUUUUGAUUAUAAUUUUUUUUAUUGUCAUUAGCCAAUAGGGUCCGUAAACAACAUUUGCAUACAAUAAAUGCAUUUUUUUUCUAUUUUAGGAAAUGAACAUGCAUGAAAAGAUAGCAUUUCUAAGAUUUCCCGUAUUUAUGAUUUUGUACAUUGUGUCUUUCUUUCCGCAUAAAAGAUCCUCUGCAAUCAAAUAGCUUUGUAUUUUCCCCAUAAAUCCUACCUGUGGAAAAAAUAAUAAUAAUUAUAAUAAAUAAAUCAUCGCACAAUGUUGGAAGUCUAUCCCCGUCUUCACAGCUCAAUUGAAGAGAGUGUGCGACCCGGCAGUGAAUGGGUUAGUUUUUGCAUUACAAUGGAUAGUAGUGAUUUUCGAGAAACAAGCUCUCCAGCCAUCUUUGCUACGAGACGGCGGGUUUAACUUGGAGUUUGUUUUGUGCAGUUGUGAAAUAAAACCCAAUUCAAAAUAGGGGAGAAAUAGAAUUAUUGAGCGUUUCACCCGAGAGCGGAAUGCGCAGAAAGUUGGGUCAGAGAGAAGCGAAGUGAAACAAUGUAACAGCUGGCGGACUGGGAGAAUGAGAAGCUUCCUCUGGAGACGCCGCACAUUUCAAAAAUUGCUGAAGACAGAAAACAUCUUAAACGAAAAGAAUAAAAGAAAAUUGACUUACCAGACAUAUUGGCCUGAAAAGGAGGAAAACUCUGGAAGAGCUACAGUGAAAUACCCCAACGUCAGUUCUUUGCUCUAUUAUAUGGGCAAGAACGAAAUAUUCACAAAAGUAUCAAAAAGUCUUAACAAAGUAACCUCAAAACACUCUCAUGACAUACAAUUAAACAGUAUUAUA
Molecule: non-coding RNA, 1179 nt
Organism: Danio rerio (zebrafish)
Lineage: Eukaryota; Metazoa; Chordata; Actinopteri; Cypriniformes; Danionidae
Source: RefSeq, a predicted model, not a curated record